GCUGGGCGCGGUGGCUCACGCCUGUAAUCCCAGCACUUUGGGAGGCUGAGGCGGGUGGGUCACCUGAGGUCAGGAGUUCAAGACCAGCCUGGCCAACAUGGUGAAACUCCGUCUCUA
RNAcentral lists this non-coding RNA (117 nucleotides) under Homo sapiens (human). The record is from Rfam by way of RNAcentral. Lineage: Eukaryota; Metazoa; Chordata; Mammalia; Primates; Hominidae.